RNAcentral lists this microRNA (23 nucleotides) under Monodelphis domestica (gray short-tailed opossum). RNAcentral's name for it is "mdo-miR-12368-3p". Lineage: Eukaryota; Metazoa; Chordata; Mammalia; Didelphimorphia; Didelphidae. The record is from miRBase by way of RNAcentral.
UCUCAGGAAAGAGUCCCCCUACA